This 254-nucleotide ribosomal RNA is filed under the name uncultured bacterium. RNAcentral describes it as "partial 16S ribosomal RNA". It matches the Rfam family "Bacterial small subunit ribosomal RNA", at positions 524 to 776 of the family's 1533-position model. The record is from RNAcentral.
GACGGAGGGUGCUAGCGUUGUUCGGAAUCACUGGGCGUAAAGGGCGCGUAGGCGGCCUUGCAAGUCGGUUGGUGAAAGCCCGGAGCUCAACUCCGGAAUUGCCUUUAAGACUGCAUCGCUAGAAUUGUGGAGAGGUGAGUGGAAUUCCGAGUGUAGAGGUGAAAUUCGUAGAUAUUCGGAAGAACACCAGUGGCGAAGGCGACUCACUGGACACAUAUUGACGCUGAGGUGCGAAAGCGUGGGGAGCAAACAGG